Molecule: unclassified non-coding RNA, 343 nt
Filed under: uncultured fungus
Lineage: Eukaryota; Fungi
Description: partial contains small subunit ribosomal RNA, internal transcribed spacer 1, and 5.8S ribosomal RNA
Rfam family: Eukaryotic small subunit ribosomal RNA (bases 1-73)
Source: RNAcentral
GCAAACUUGGUCAUUUAGAGGAAGUAAAAGUCGUAACAAGGUUUCCGUAGGUGAACCUGCGGAAGGAUCAUUAAUGAAUAAAUAAACUUGGUGGUGGGUUGUAGCUGGCUCUUCGGAGCAUGUGCACGCUCAUCAUCCACUUAUUCAUCCACCUGUGCACAAUUUGUAGUCUUGAGGGAGAUUAGAGCGACUGUAAAGUCGUGACUUUCUUUCAAGUCUAUGUAUUUUUAUACACUACAUAGAAUGUUGUCAGAAUGUAUUCAAUGGGCCUCUGUGCCUAUAUAAAAUCUAUACAACUUUCAGCAACGGAUCUCUUGGCUCUCGCAUCGAUGAAGAACGCAGC